CUCCAAGGCUAAAUACUACCUAGUGACCGAUAGCGUAUAGUACCGUGAGGAAAAGGUGAAAAGAACCCCGGGAGGGGAGUGAAAUAGAACCUGAAACCCUGCACUUACAAGCUGUGGAAGCACAUUUCUUGUGUGACCGCGUACUUUUUGUAGAACGGGCCAACGAGUUACGUUAAGUAGCAAGGUUAAGCACUUAAGGUGUGGAGCCGUAGCGAAAGCGAGUUUUAACUGAGCGUUCAGUUACUUGACGUAGACCCGAAACCGGGCGACCUACCCAUGAGCAGGAUGAAGCGAAAGUAAAAUUUCGUGGAGGUCCGAACCCACGAGCGUUGAAAAGCUCGGGGAUGACUUGUGGGUAGCGGUGAAAUUCCAAUCGAGCCCGGAGAUAGCUGGUUCUCCCCGAAAUAGCUUUAGGGCUAGCCUCAAGGUGAGAGAUACGGAGGUAGAGCACUGAAUGUCCUAGGGGGUAUUGCACCUACCGAAGACUAUCAAACUCCGAAUGCCGUCAUCUUAUACUUGGGAGUCAGACUGUGGGUGAUAAGAUUCAUAGUCGAAAGGGCAACAGCCCAGAUCGUCAGCUAAGGUCCCUAAAUGUAAGUUAAGUGGUAAAGGAUGUGGGAUUGCACAGACAACCAGGAUGUUGGCUUAGAAGCAGCCACUCAUUCAAAGAGUGCGUAAUAGCUCACUGGUCGAGUGAUCCUGCGCCGAAGAUUUCCGGGGCUAAAACUUACUACCGAAGCUACGGCAUCAGUAAUGAUGGGUAGGGGAGCUUCCCAUACGGGUUGAAGCAUGACCGUAAGGACAUGUGGACAGUAUGGGAGUGAGAAUGUUGGCAUGAGUAGCGAGAUGUGGGUGAGAAUCCCACAGGCCGUAAACCCAAGGUUUCCAGGGGAAGGUUCGUCCGCCCUGGGUUAGUCGGGACCUAAGCUGAGGCCGAAAGGCGUAGGUGAUGGACAACAGGUUGAUAUUCCUGUACUACCGAUAACCGUUUGAGAGAAGGGAUGACACAGUAGGAUAAGCUAAGCACACUGUUGGUUAUGUGUGCCCAAGCAUUGAGGCAGUCAAAGUAGGCAAAUCCGCUUUGAUAAUGCUAGGAUGUGAUGGGGAGCGAAAUUUAGUAGCGAAGUAGCUGAUUUCACACUGUCAAGAAAAGUCUCUAUCGAGGUUAAAGGUACCCGUACCGCAAACCGACACAGGUGGGUGAGGAGAGUAUCCUAAGGCCAGCGAGAGAACUGUUGUUAAGGAACUCGGCAAAAUGACCCCGUAACUUAGGGAUAAGGGGUGCCACCAUCAGGUGGCCGCAGAGAAUAGGCCCAAGCGACUGUUUACCAAAAACAUAGGUUUCUGCUAAGUCGCAAGACGAUGUAUAGGAGCUGACGCCUGCCCGGUGCUGGAAGGUUAAGGGGAUCUGUUAGAGCAAUCGAAGCAGUGAACUUAAGCCCCAGUAAACGGCGGCCGUAACUAUAACGGUCCUAAGGUAGCGAAAUUCCUUGUCGGGUAAGUUCCGACCCGCACGAAAGGCGUAACGAUUUGGGCACUGUCUCAACAACAGACUCGGUGAAAUUGUAAUUCCGGUGAAGAUGCCGGAUACCUGCGACAGGACGGAAAGACCCCAUGGAGCUUUACUGUAGCUUGACAUUGGGUCUUGGUACUACAUGUACAGGAUAGGUGGGAGGCUUUGAAACCAGGACGCCAGUUUUGGCGGAGCCAUCCUUGGGAUACCACCCUUGUAGUACUGGGACUCUAACCAUAGGCCAUGAAUCUGGUCUUGGGACACUGUCAGGUGGGCAGUUUGACUGGGGCGGUCGCCUCCCAAAAGGUAACGGAGGCGCUCAAAGGUUCUCUCAGUACGGUCGGAAAUCGUACGUAGAGUGUAAAGGCAAAAGAGAGCUUGAUUGCAAGACAUACAGGUCGAGCAAGGAUGAAAAUCGGACUUAGUGAUCCGGUGGUUCUGCGUGGAAGGGCCAUCGCUCAACGGAUAAAAGCUACCCUGGGGAUAACAGGCUUAUCUCCCCCAAGAGUCCACAUCGACGGGGAGGUUUGGCACCUCGAUGUCGGCUCAUCACAUCCUGGGGCUGUAGUAGGUCCCAAGGGUUGGGCUGUUCGCCCAUUAAAGUGGUACGCGAGCUGGG
This 2132-nucleotide ribosomal RNA is filed under the name Clostridioides difficile. RNAcentral's name for it is "bacterial LSU rRNA". It matches the Rfam family "Bacterial large subunit ribosomal RNA", at positions 458 to 2609 of the family's 2925-position model. The record is from RNAcentral. Lineage: Bacteria; Bacillati; Bacillota; Clostridia; Peptostreptococcales; Peptostreptococcaceae.